AAUUAAUGAGCUUGUAUAAGCAUAUGUUUUGAAAACAUAAUAAAGAAAUUUAAAUUUUCUAUUAAUUU
RNAcentral lists this transfer RNA (68 nucleotides) under Stenosialis australiensis. RNAcentral's name for it is "tRNA-Ser". The record is from RNAcentral. Lineage: Eukaryota; Metazoa; Arthropoda; Insecta; Megaloptera; Sialidae.